RNAcentral lists this ribosomal RNA (192 nucleotides) under Mysmeninae sp. MYSM-029-MAD. RNAcentral's name for it is "partial 28S ribosomal RNA". It matches the Rfam family "Eukaryotic large subunit ribosomal RNA", at positions 714 to 874 of the family's 3401-position model. Lineage: Eukaryota; Metazoa; Arthropoda; Arachnida; Araneae; Mysmenidae. The record is from RNAcentral.
GCAAAGCGAAGGCCGGGAUGUCAAAUUCCCAGGCCGAGUCGAGAUCCCCGCUCCGACGAGGGCGGGGCGCACCGACGGCCCGCGCCGAGACCGAUUCAUCGGUGGCGCGGAGCCCGAGCACACACGUUGGUACCCGAAAGAUGGUGAACUAUACCUGGACAGGACGAAGCCAGAGGAAACUCUGGUGGAGGU